AUUGAACGCUGGCGGCAGGCCUAACACAUGCAAGUCGAGCGGAUGAAGGGAGCUUGCUCCUGGAUUCAGCGGCGGACGGGUGAGUAAUGCCUAGGAAUCUGCCUGGUAGUGGGGGAUAACGUCCGGAAACGGGCGCUAAUACCGCAUACGUCCUGCGGGAGCAAGUGGGGGAUCUUCGGACCUCACGCUCUCAGAUGAGCCUAGGUCGGAUUAGCUAGUUGGUGGGGUAAAGGCCUACCAAGGCGACGAUCCGUAACUGGUCUGAGAGGAUGAUCAGUCACACUGGAACUGAGACAGGGUCAAGACUACUAAGGGAGGCAGCAGUGGGGAAUAGUGGACAAUGGGGGAAAGCAUGAUCCAGCCAUGCCGCGUGUGUGAAGAAGGUCCUCGGAGUGUAAAGAACGUUAAGGGGGGAGGAAGGGCAGUAAGUUAAGACCUUGCUGUUUUGACGGUACUAACAGAAUAAGCACCGGCUAACCUCGUG
Molecule: ribosomal RNA, 484 nt
Filed under: uncultured bacterium
Lineage: Bacteria
Description: partial 16S ribosomal RNA
Rfam family: Bacterial small subunit ribosomal RNA
Source: RNAcentral